CAGGGCGCCUGUUUAACAAAAACAUGUCCUAUUGUAUUAUUUAAUAGGUCUGGCCUGCCCAGUGAUAAUUUCAACGGCCGCGGUAUAUUGACCGUGCAAAGGUAGCAUAAUCAUUAGUCUUUUAAUAGGAGGCUGGAAUGAAAGGUUUAACGAGAAAUUGACUGUCUCAAUUACAAUCUUGAAUUUAUCUUUUGAGUCAAAAGACUUAAAUAUAAUUGGUGGACGAGAAGACCCUAUAGAGCUUGACAAUUAUUUUUUUAUAUUUACUUAGACUGAAAUUAUUUAUUUAUAUUAAAAAGAUUGUUUUGUUGGGGUGACAAUAAAUAUAUAUUUAACUUUUAUCAUAAUAUUAACAUUAAUUUAUGACUUUUGGAUCCAAAAAUUUUGAUCAUUAGAUUAAGUUACCUUAGGGAUAACAGCGUAAUCUUCCCUCAGAGUUCAUAUUUACGGGAAGGGUUGCGACCUCGAUGUUGGAUUAAGAUAAUAAUUAGGUGCAGUAGCUUAAUUAAUAGGUCUGUUCGACCUUUAAAUUCUUACAUGAUCUGAGUUCAGACCGGUUUAAGCCAGGUCGGUUUCUAUCUCCAAUUUAAUAUCAGUUAUUAGUACGAAAGGACCAUAAUUGAAAAAUAUUUUUUAUGUUUUGAAUUUUAUU
RNAcentral lists this ribosomal RNA (652 nucleotides) under Ischnura elegans. Its description in RNAcentral is "partial 16S ribosomal RNA". It matches the Rfam family "Bacterial large subunit ribosomal RNA", at positions 1790 to 2730 of the family's 2925-position model. The record is from RNAcentral. Lineage: Eukaryota; Metazoa; Arthropoda; Insecta; Odonata; Coenagrionidae.